GACUCCUGGGAUAGCUCAGUUGGUAGAGCUUGAGACUCUUAACCUCAGGGUCAGAGGUUCAAGCCCCAUGUUGGUCU
Non-coding RNA from Podarcis lilfordi (Lilford's wall lizard), 77 nucleotides. NCBI's taxonomy places the organism in Eukaryota, Metazoa, Chordata, Lepidosauria, Squamata, Lacertidae. The record is from the annotation of a GenBank genome assembly.